Molecule: transfer RNA, 61 nt
Filed under: Nicotiana attenuata
Lineage: Eukaryota; Viridiplantae; Streptophyta; Magnoliopsida; Solanales; Solanaceae
Rfam family: tRNA
About the family: Transfer RNA (tRNA) molecules are approximately 80 nucleotides in length. Their secondary structure includes four short double-helical elements and three loops (D, anti-codon, and T loops).
Source: Rfam by way of RNAcentral
UGUGGUAUAGUGGUGUGUAUUCCCGCCUGUCAUGCGGGUGACCCGGGUUCGAUCCUCGGCA